CAUUUGGAACUUUCUUAGACUAUCCACAUCAGCAACUCUUCUAUGGUUGAUCCACAUCAGCAUCCUCAAAACAGCCUCAAUCGUUCUUCAAUUUCCACUCUCUUCAUCGUAACUGUCCUUCAACCAUUCUCUUCCAAAUUCCCAAAACGGUUCUCAAAUCAUUUUUCCUCAUAACUUCCCUUCAACCAUCCUCUUCCAAAUUCUCAAACCGUUUACAAUCCACAAUCCAUUGCGUUUCUGUUUUUUAUGGCAGAUUCUUCGCUCUCCUAUUUUUCUCUUUCUCACUAUCAAUCCUGAUUCUCGAUCCUGAUAUUUUGCUUCCUUCCAUUGCUUGCGCUUCCGCUGCUUCCUCCAAAGGCGUCGAGGUUUUUUUACUUUUUUUGUUCUUCUUUGAUUUCAUCUUCGUGUAUGGUGUCUGCGGCUGCGUCGAUCUUGGCCGGAAGGAUGAUGCUCGCGGUGAUUGGUUUCGCUUUCUCACGACCCUUCAGAGUUGUCGGGUUUAAUUAAACGGUUCUCGAUGUCAAUACAGAAGCUUGAUCUGCAGACAAAUCACGAUACAUAACGUAUCCAACCCAAAACGCGAAAGAGAUUUGAAGAAAAUACCGGUCUGUUAUGAGAGCACAAAAUCGAGGUACGCUGUUUAUCUCUUCUUCUUAUCACUCGAAUUGUUGUGUUAAUGGUGGAAUCGAUGAGAUAGGUGUGUAUCGGUUUCGAUUGUUCAAACAGUGGUUCUGGACUUAUAUUUUGAUCUAUUUACUGAGCUAUGGUUUAUUUUUCUUAUUGCUAAUAGAUUUAAUUAAAAAUCAUAGUGAAAAUAUCAACCACAAAAUACAGCAAGAAUCAAUCAGAUGCACAAUUCAAUUUUAUUUAGAUUCAAACACAAUAAAGCAGAGCAACAAUAAUUCGAGUGAAUUUUACAGGGAAGGGUUCAAAAUAACUCAAUACGAAAUUGGAAUUUCAUCACAAUAAAGAUGAAACUCUCAAUUAGCAGAGGUUGCCCUUAGUGAGGGUAUGCACUUAGCUUCUGCAGGUACGUUCGGGUUGUCUUCUUUGUGUAUGCACUUAGCUUCUGUAGUGAGGUGGUUACAACAACCACACUUGGCUUGAUGAUAUGAUGUCGAGAGGUAUAAUGCUUUGGCACUUGAAUCUGUACAAAGAGGGAUGCUGCGGUGGGACUCUUUUUUGUUGGGGGGAGAAAGCGCCUAUUAAUAACCAAAAAUCUUGAAUUAUUGCCUAUUGAACAUUGAUGUUUGAGUUUUUUUCACUCUGAAGAUUAUACCAACAGAACUUAAUAUUGUAGGCAGUACAUGCUGCACCUUGGUUCUAAUGUUGUCUCAGGAUGGGAAAAGGCAUAAGAUGAGGCUUUGGCAUUGAAGGAUCAUCUAGAAUCAGUUACUCUUUCGAAACUCAUUGUUGAUGAUCGUGCGUCCCAUUUGGAUGGUGCUCUUAAAGAGUGUCUGCGACUGAUACGGAACCUUAAGGAAGAACAUGAACAAAAAAUACAGGAAGUUAAGUGAUCCAUACUUUUUAUCACAACUCUAUUACUGUGGCAUUUUUGCACUCCUCUGUGAUAACCAUGUCGUCGAUACAUGUUCAACACGAUACACCCUUGCGAACUUAUAAUCACAUCACACAGAGUUCACACUGUUUUUGAUUCGGUGACGACAUGUUUUGGCAUAGAAGCAUUAUCAAGGUCUCACCUUAUAGCGGAAAAGUGGAUGAUUCCAUCGAUAAUUAUUCUUGAUAUUGACCACACAUCGGUUCGUCGGGCCAUGGGCAAUUUCUAUUCUCUUAGUGUAGUCAUCUCUUUUAAUCUUCCCAUCACCUCACUGUUUGAUUAAUUCACUACUAUAUUGCAGAAGAAGAAUAGGAUGAAAGCGGAUUGUAAGGUGAAGUGGAUAGCUGUAGCAGUGAAAAUCCGUUUUAACGUCUUUAUGAUUAUGCAAAACAGAAUUCGGGAUCUUUGAGAUCUGCUGUUGGAACCGUCGAAGGUACUAUUACUACAGUUAUUGGUCGUGUUUAUCACAAAUUCAAGCCUCUCCCUCAAGAUGUCCUCCUUUUUUUUUGACAAUAAGGUCUCUCUCUCUCAUUCAUUGUUUCCAUUAUGUAGAUUUUUUAUUUGCUGCUAUUUUUUUAUGAGGAUUAUUGCAUUUGAAUUCAAUACUCUAAGAACCAUUACUGUUUCAA
Molecule: long non-coding RNA, 2187 nt
Organism: Vicia villosa (hairy vetch)
Lineage: Eukaryota; Viridiplantae; Streptophyta; Magnoliopsida; Fabales; Fabaceae
Exons: 7
Source: RefSeq, a predicted model, not a curated record